This is a long non-coding RNA of Ostrea edulis (European flat oyster), 644 nucleotides long. RefSeq lists it as uncharacterized. The transcript has 2 exons. The record is from RefSeq and is a predicted model, not a curated record. Lineage: Eukaryota; Metazoa; Mollusca; Bivalvia; Ostreida; Ostreidae.
GAGUUAUCGUUAUUUGUUAAAAUAUUUCCUUUUUUUUUUUUAUAUUGAAUUAUCUUUCUUUACGACUUAGACUUCAAACCCGUUUAGAGUUACCAUACUUAAUUCGAGCACGUACUUCCUGUUUACCUGUGAGUGUGUUUCACGCAUCGGUCGAUUGUUCCAAUCAUUCAUUUUCUACUUAGAGAUAGCACACACUUCUUUUACCACACAUGAAGUACAUAAUAAAGACUACGCACCGUCCUAUUGUGUCUUUGGUUAAACUAUCUGCAAAAGUAAUGGCAGAAUAGUAAAAGAAGUGUUCCUAUCAAGAUGUCUGACGCAGAAGACCGGCUAAGUAGAAUAAGAACUCUAACAAAGAAAGGACGAGAGUUUUUCUACAGUAAACUAGAGUCUUACGUUAGGGAUGUCGAUAAGUCCUGGAAGGAGUUUGAAGACAUUUUAGUGAAUUUCGAUGAAUCUUCCACAGACAUUAAAUACCUCCGAAAAAUUGAGACAGAUCUAGAGAAAGCAAAAAAGCAUUAUGUCAUGGAUACAGAUGUACUGUUUUCCUUUUUUAAUCGUUCUCACACGGAAGAGAGUGAAGUGGAAAUGGAGAAACAUUUAGUGAAAAAUGAAAGAUGUCAUACAGUGAUGGAUAAUUUCAG